GACGAACGCUGGCGGCGUGCUUAACACAUGCAAGUCGAGCGGUAAGGCCCUUUCGGGGGUACACGAGCGGCGAACGGGUGAGUAACACGUGGGUGACCUGCCUUUAGCUCUGGGAUAAGCCUGGGAAACCGGGUCUAAUACCGGAUAUGACUCCAUGACGCAUGUUGUGGGGUGGAAAGCCUUGUGCGGCUGAGGAUGGGCCCGCGGCCUACCAGCUUGUUGGUGGGGUGAUGGCCUACCAAGGCGACGACGGGUAGCCGGCCUGAGAGGGCGACCGGCCACACUGGGGCUGAGACACGGCCCAGACUCCUACGGGAGGCAGUAGUGGGGAAUCUUGCGCAAUGGGCGAAAGCCUGACGCAGCGACG
This 367-nucleotide ribosomal RNA is filed under the name uncultured bacterium. RNAcentral's name for it is "bacterial SSU rRNA". It matches the Rfam family "Bacterial small subunit ribosomal RNA", at positions 28 to 396 of the family's 1533-position model. The record is from RNAcentral.